This 253-nucleotide ribosomal RNA is filed under the name uncultured bacterium. RNAcentral describes it as "partial 16S ribosomal RNA". It matches the Rfam family "Bacterial small subunit ribosomal RNA", at positions 524 to 776 of the family's 1533-position model. The record is from RNAcentral. RNAcentral also lists the same sequence under 1 other name.
UACGUAGGGUGCGAGCGUUAAUCGGAAUUACUGGGCGUAAAGCGUGCGCAGGCGGAUUAUUAAGCAAGACGUGAAAGCCCCGGGCUUAACCUGGGAAUGGCGUUUUGAACUGGUAGUCUAGAGUGCGUCAGAGGGGGGUGGAAUUCCACGUGUAGCAGUGAAAUGCGUAGAGAUGUGGAGGAACACCAAUGGCGAAGGCAGCCCCCUGGGAUGACACUGACGCUCAUGUACGAAAGCGUGGGUAGCAAACAGG